CGGACGGGUGAGUAAUGUCUGGGAAACUGCCUGAUGGAGGGGGAUAACUACUGGAAACGGUAGCUAAUACCGCAUAACGUCGCAAGGCCAAAGAGGGGGACCUUCGGGCCUCUUGCCAUCGGAUGUGCCCAGAUGGGAUUAGCUAGUAGGUGGGGUAAAGGCUCACCUAGGCGACGAUCCCUAGCUGGUCUGAGAGGAUGACCAGCCACACUGGAACUGAGACACGGUCCAG
RNAcentral lists this ribosomal RNA (232 nucleotides) under uncultured bacterium. RNAcentral describes it as "partial 16S ribosomal RNA". It matches the Rfam family "Bacterial small subunit ribosomal RNA", at positions 99 to 334 of the family's 1533-position model. The record is from RNAcentral.